RNAcentral lists this ribosomal RNA (254 nucleotides) under uncultured bacterium. Its description in RNAcentral is "partial 16S ribosomal RNA". It matches the Rfam family "Bacterial small subunit ribosomal RNA", at positions 524 to 776 of the family's 1533-position model. The record is from RNAcentral.
UACGUAGGCAGCAAGCGUUGUUCGGAAUUACUGGGCGUAAAGAGUGUGUAGGCGGUGCUCUAAGUCUGUUGUGAAAUCUCCCGGCUCAACUGGGAGGGUGCGCCGAAUACUGAAAGACUUCGAGUGCGGGAGAGGAAAGUGGAAUUCCUGGUGUAGCGGUGAAAUGCGUAGAUAUCAGGAGGAACACUGGUGGUGUAGACGGCUUUCUGGACCGUAACUGACGCUGAGACACGAAAGCGUGGGUAGCAAACAGG